UUUGUGAAGUCAAGAUUUGGACUCAGCUGUUCAUAUAAAUUUCAUAGGAAUUAUCAUCAGGGGAAGCUGAUCGGCCCAGCCUGGUCCUGGUCCAGACUGAGAACGUCCCAAUGAAAACCAAUAGCCCUGGGCUCAUAUAGAGCACCAGCGCGAAGACAGAGGGAACCAUAAAAGGAGCAAUAAAGCUAAUGCGAUAGAGAAAAUGGCUUUCUGAAUAAAGGUGUGAUGAAAGCCGUGCCCCUGAAAUCUGGGUGUGCAGAGCUCUGCAGAGGUGACAGUCUGAUGAAGUUUAUAUUGGAUUUUCUGAGAGUUAAAUCAAAGUAACCUUAAAAUACCACUACUCUUGUGUUAGAUAUGAAAUUGAUUGGCAGUAUGUGUUCAUAAGCUGAAUAACACUGGAGGAACUGGCAAUGAUGUCGGCCUGUAUAUGAGUAACAGCACAAAGUUAUAGAAACAAGAAGACAUGACAAGAAUUGGUUAAUAGUUGGAUGCAGCUAGUAAGUAUGUAGGUAUGUUAAAGUAAAGCAUAAGACACAAUAAAACCAUAUAAAGCACCUGCAACAUAAUGAACAAGAAAAUAUACUUUUUUAGGUAUUAAUUUGAAUACAUGAAGAGUUUUUCAUCUUUCGGGUGAAAUUAAACACAUACAGUAUGAAAGCAGAUAUGGCUUUCAGUAACAGUGGUCUGAAGAUUGUUGUUGCAGUAAUGACAACUGGUAGACUCGAGCUGUGAUGAAGCCAUGAAGCUAAAGGUGCAAAUUGCCAGGUAACUCCUAUAUCAGUAGACAGGCACUGAGCUAGAAACUUAAGAAAACUUGCAUGUGGUAAGAAUUUGAAAAGGACUUUUUGUUGGAAUGCUGCCUGGUGGCUCAAGAAUACGAAACAGGGACCAUUCAUGGGCGUGUUUAGUUUUCCAGGGUUUUUAUGUCACAAACUGGGCUCUUCACAGAACUUUUAAAGGCCUUCAUGAGUGCCAGUUUGUUUGGUAUUGCUCUUAGACAUUUCUCUUCACUUUCUACACCUGGUCAUACAGAAAACAUUUUAUUAAACAUUUGAACUGCAAUCAGUUAUAUCACCCAUUUUUUGUGUUGUGGGUGAACUGUUGUGUUAUCCAUUAAUGCCCAAGUUUGGCAUUCCAAUAUAAUGUCAUCAGUUUUUAACAUGUUUUUACAACUUAUAAACAAAAAAGAUUAUUAAAAGUCUGAAUAUAACCGCAAAAGAAAUGUUAAAAAAGUGAUACAGUUGAGAGUAAUGACAAAAAACAGACGACCUUCACAACACAUAGUAUUUUUUGCUUUCACUUACUAUAGCAAAACAUCAUGUCAGUUUGUUUUUAUAUAUAAAUUGUAUAAUGUUUUAUGUAGUCCAAGAGAGCUACAUUCAGUCAUUCACCAAUGCAUUAACCCGCUAACGGUUGCACGCUACGUUGUAGCCACAGCUAUAUCAUACAUUUUCGUGGAAGACACUUUUUUGUCAUAAUUUCAUAUCUGGUGGGCAUGUGUCCUGUCAUUCAGACGGUGUGGAAAUCUCGUUCAUUGUCCGUUUAAAUGCAAUCACAAAAUGCCCACCAGUUUGCAACCAGCAUUCAUCCUGCCCCUCUCCAUCCCUCUGCUUGUGUUUGCAGGUUUGCAUCUGAAUCACGGGGCUGGUGGGGGCCCAGCACUCGGCCACGUGGACCAGAUUGAUGUCAUUGUCUCGGCACACUGACCUUUGCUGUAAUACCCACGGCAGACAUCACAAACUCUCACAUCAAUUUAGUCCAAUUGGAUGUGGCAUGUCUUGGCUAACUCAAUUUGUGGAGAAAUGCACCUGUCUCUGCCUUCCCUCCCUAUAGAUUUGCUAAAGGGAGGGGGGAAGCAGAGAAAGGGAGAGUGAAGGGAGAGCUUUUGGAGUGAGAUGCUCCUGGUCUACUCCCCGUCUCCUUCCUCACCCCUAGAAACACUCACCCGUAUGCAUAUAAACACCAACUUCUUUUUUUUUCUCCAUCCCUCAGCUCUUUUCCCUCGGCCUUACUUUGCAGAUGUACCGUCUCUGCACCAACAUACGCCCCAAACAGCCAGUGUUGGUUUGUUUGCCUCUGUGUGUGUUUUCCAAGGUCUGGGGAGAGCGUCUGGGAGGAGCAGAAGGAGAGCCAUUAGCCCAGCAGUAAUCAGAUUAGAGAGACGUUAAAGGGGGAUGUGAAUUUAAACAGCCAGCAGAGAGAACAAGAGGAAAACUUGGAGGUGUUAUUAAGCCAAAGGUCCAAUCAGUGACCUAUUCGAGCCACAUAGCAGUGUGACCCCCGUGCCCCCUCACACCACUGUGGCGACCCGUCCCUUUGCCUCGCUCCCCUCCAGAAUGCUGAGGCAUCACUGCUCCUGAGCACACAGUCCAGCAGCACCCCCUGACCCUGCGCUGUCCCCCAUUAUAGAGCAGUCAGAAAGCUUUUAGGGGCUCCGGUAACGCUGAAAGAUUGAUGGCGUAAAAUGGGGAGGAGGAGGGGGGAAGAGCAGGUGGUUAAGAAGAGAAUGUCCUGCUUAAUGGGUUGCCAGGAAUGUAAUUCAAUAAUUAUGAAAAGUGACUCAGGAGAGCUGGCUGGAUGGAUGGAUGGCUGGAUGGCUGCUGAGGGAGGCGGGGAGCUCGUCCAGUCUUACUGCCUCAACGUCCUCAACAUCCUGAAGCGACAGAAACAGGAGGACAGCUGAUGUGAAACACCAAAUUAUAGUGGAGUUCAUGACUCAUCAAAGGACGGGAUAAAACCAUCCAGGACUUUGAAGAUGAUUCAGUAGUUCUUUCAGUUUUUUCCUGCUGGCUUACUCUGCUCAGCCACACAUUCUUCCAUUGUCAGGGCUUCUGUUGAUGUUUUCUUCAACUGUAUACUUCCUCCUUUCCUCAUUUCAGUAUGUACCCACUUACUUACCACAUUUACCAGACACACAAUAAAGUGUCUACUGUGGAAGAGCAGUGUUUUACAGUUUUGAUGUGAUUUGCAAAGUGUAGCAUAUACAUCUGACCCUGGCAUGUCAAUAAAGCCCUUCUCCAGUUGG
Molecule: long non-coding RNA, 3025 nt
Organism: Xiphophorus hellerii (green swordtail)
Lineage: Eukaryota; Metazoa; Chordata; Actinopteri; Cyprinodontiformes; Poeciliidae
Exons: 4
Source: RefSeq, a predicted model, not a curated record